GACGAACGCUGGCGGCGUGCCUAAUACAUGCAAGUAGAACGCACAGUUUAUACCGUAGCUUGCUACACCAUAGACUGUGAGUUGCGAACGGGUGAGUAACGCGUAGGUAACCUGCCUGGUAGCGGGGGAUAACUAUUGGAAACGAUAGCUAAUACCGCAUAAUAUUGAUUAUUGCAUGAUAAUUGAUUGAAAGAUGCUAUUGCAUCACUACCAGAUGGACCUGCGUUGUAUUAGCUAGUAGGUGAGGUAACGGCUCACCUAGGCGACGAUACAUAGCCGACCGGAGAGGGUGAUCGGCCACACUGGGACGGAGACACGGCCCAGACUCCUACGGGAGGCAGCAGUAGGGAAUCUUAGGCAAUGGACGAAAGUCUGACCGAGCAACGCCGCGUGAGUGAAGAAGGUUUUCGGAUCGUAAAGCUCUGUUGUAAGAGAAGAACGGGUGUGAGAGUGGAAAGUUCACACUGUGACGGUAUCUUACCAGAAAGGGACGGCUAACUACGUG
Molecule: ribosomal RNA, 505 nt
Filed under: uncultured bacterium
Lineage: Bacteria
Description: partial 16S ribosomal RNA
Rfam family: Bacterial small subunit ribosomal RNA
Source: RNAcentral